CAGCAGCCGCGGUAAUACAGAGGUCCCGAGCGUUGUUCGGAUUCACUGGGCGUAAAGGGUGUGUAGGAGGUUUGGUAAGCCAGGUGUGAAAUCCCACAGCUCAACUGUGGAACUGCAUUCGAUACUGCCGAACUAGAGGCUUGGAGGGGGAAGCGGAAUUCUUGGCGUAGCGGUGAAAUGCGUAGAUAUCAAGAGGAACACCGGUGGCGAAGGCGGCUUCCUGGACAAGUCCUGACUCUGAAACACGAAAGCCAGGGGAGCGAAUGGGAUUAGAUACCCGCGUAGUCCCUGUCUCUUAUAA
RNAcentral lists this ribosomal RNA (301 nucleotides) under uncultured bacterium. RNAcentral's name for it is "partial 16S ribosomal RNA". It matches the Rfam family "Bacterial small subunit ribosomal RNA", at positions 509 to 809 of the family's 1533-position model. The record is from RNAcentral.